This 446-nucleotide ribosomal RNA is filed under the name uncultured bacterium. RNAcentral describes it as "partial 16S ribosomal RNA". It matches the Rfam family "Bacterial small subunit ribosomal RNA", at positions 338 to 795 of the family's 1533-position model. The record is from RNAcentral.
CCUACGGGGCGCAGCAGUCGAGAAUCAUUCACAAUGGGGGAAACCCUGAUGGUGCGACGCCGCGUGGGGGAAUGAAGGUCUUCGGAUUGUAAACCCCUGUCAUGUGGGAGCAAAUUAAAAAGAUCGUACCACAAGAGGAAGAGACGGCUAACUCUGUGCCAGCAGCCGCGGUAAUACAGAGGUCUCAAGCGUUGUUCGGAAUCACUGGGCGUAAAGCGUGCGUAGGCUGUUUCGUAAGUCGUGUGUGAAAGGCGCGGGCUCAACCCGCGGACGGCACAUGAUACUGCGAGACUAGAGUAAGGGAGGGGGAACCGGAAUUCUCGGUGUAGCAGUGAAAUGCGUAGAUAUCGAGAGGAACACUCGUGGCGAAGGCGGGUUCCUGGACAUUAACUGACGCUGAGGCACGAAGGCCAGGGGAGCGAAAGGGAUUAGAUACCCUUGUAGUC